Lolium perenne is the source of this 493-nucleotide long non-coding RNA. RefSeq lists it as uncharacterized. Lineage: Eukaryota; Viridiplantae; Streptophyta; Magnoliopsida; Poales; Poaceae. The record is from RefSeq and is a predicted model, not a curated record.
CUGCAAUGUUGCAUCUCCCCUAUAAAUAGACAUAUGCGGUAUAAACAUGUCCAUCAAGUUCAUCGAGUGAUAAGACCGAGCGCCAUUGUUUAGCUAAACAUUUUGUUGUGUGCCCUAUCCACCAACCAUGAGCUCCACCAAUGUCGUCACGGCCGCCGGAGAGGAGCCAAAAAAGACUUUGGGGGAGGUGGUUGGGUUGCCGGUGAAGGAGGCCUCCGAGAUCAUCAUCAAGGAAAAGCCUGACGGCGAUACGCCGGCAACCAAGGACCUGAGUCCUGACCAUGUCCCAUCUUCACCGACACAGUCGCCAGCGCCCGUUGUGGUUACUAGGGACAUUAAUUUGCUUGGGCAGUAGUAUGCAUGCAUGAUCCAUGUGUGUUCAUGAAUAAGUUAAUUUUAUAAUUUCAAUUAGUACACGAUGAGGCUCAGCGUGUGAUCUGCUUAUGUACUCUGUAUUUCGACCUGUUAUCUUAUGAAAUCUUUCAUAUGAGUA